This 341-nucleotide ribosomal RNA is filed under the name uncultured bacterium. RNAcentral's name for it is "bacterial SSU rRNA". It matches the Rfam family "Bacterial small subunit ribosomal RNA", at positions 589 to 942 of the family's 1533-position model. The record is from RNAcentral.
UGAAUGUGAAGCCUGUCAGCUCCACCGAAGAAUGCUUGGAACUGGGAGAUCGAGUGAGAAAGGAAGUGGAAUUCCUCGGUAGCGGUGGAGCGUAAAAUUUUGGAAAGCACAGUGGCGAAGCGGCUUUAUGGUCUGUAACUGACGCUGAGGCUCGAAAGCACGGGUAGCGAACAGGAUUAUUACCCCGGUAGUCCAUGCCGUAAACGAUGAUUGCUAAGUGUUGGAAGGUUUCCGCCCUUCAGUGCUGCAGCUAACGCAUUAAGUAUUCCGCCUGGGGAGUACGACCGCAAGGUUGAAACUCAAAGGAAUUGACGGGGACCCGCACAAGCGGUGGAGCAUGG